RNAcentral lists this long non-coding RNA (374 nucleotides) under Heterocephalus glaber (naked mole-rat). RNAcentral's name for it is "lncRNA (ENSHGLG00000045406.1)". The record is from RNAcentral. Lineage: Eukaryota; Metazoa; Chordata; Mammalia; Rodentia; Bathyergidae.
CAAACGUCUCAUGGAGCAGAACUCGAACCCAGGCGAUAAACUCCAGAGGCUGGCUUUGCAGCUUGAUUCCCCCUUUGAGGCCCCUCUUCUCAUCUGAGAACUGCAGCGGAGGUUGUUACAACUUGAAGAUUAGCCAGUGAGCCAACUCUGCUCCUAGCCACCAGCUGAGGUCUGAGAGAAGCUGGCCUAUGGGGUCCCAGCAGAUCCUUAUAUCUGCCUGCUUAAACUCUCCCCCAGGAUAACACUGAGCAUCAUGGCAGACACCCUGGAUACCUGCUCAAUAAGUGUUUGUUGGGUGAAUGAAUGAUUCCCUUGGCCUGCACUAGAGCAGCCCUACCAAUAGGUACAAAACUGGAAGAAGUGACAACCUGGAC